GACAGAGGGUGCGAACGUUGUUCGGAAUUACUGGGCGUAAAGCGCGCGUACGCGGCUUUGCAAGUCGGGUGUGAAAUCCCCAGGCUUAACCUGGGAACUGCAUUCGAGACUGCAUUGCUAGAGUAUGGGAGAGGGAAGUGGAAUUUCCGGUGUAGCGGUGAAAUGCGUAGAUAUCGGAAGGAACAUCAGUGGCGAAAGCGACUUCCUGGACCAAUACUGACGCUCAUGUGCGAAAGCGUGGGGAGCAAACAGG
This 253-nucleotide ribosomal RNA is filed under the name uncultured bacterium. RNAcentral describes it as "partial 16S ribosomal RNA". It matches the Rfam family "Bacterial small subunit ribosomal RNA", at positions 524 to 776 of the family's 1533-position model. The record is from RNAcentral.